AUAAACAAGGUAUUGUAUAUUACCUAGACAAAAGUAUUUCUACUGGGAGGCAUAUUUUUUUUUACUUUGCUUACAUUUGGGUGAAAUUCAGUGUAACAAAAAUAUUUCUUCUAUACUUCAAACUUAAUUAAACAAGGGUAAUAAAAUAAAGAAGGGUAAAAGAAUAUCCACAAGAAAAUAUAGAUUUAAUUUAUCAUAUGAAACUAAAACUUCUAACAACUAAUAAUGAUAUCUUAACAUGUAUUGACACAUGUGUGUCGUUAAUUAGGCUAGUUAAGUUUCAAAACUGGCUAAGAAAAUAUACCAAAAUAUGAAUGAAUAAUAUACCUGUACAUGUAGAGACAGAAUGAGUUCUAGAAAAUCUGCACAAGUUUAAUAAACUACUGAGCCCCGAAGCAAUGGAACCAACCAAAGUGCAUAAAAGACAAGACAUGUACAAUCUAACCCAAACCAUUGAACUUUUAAAACCUAGCCUCUCUGGUCCUGUCCAGCCCGCCUACUUUGUCUAUUAUGAACCUGUCCUAAAUAUCGUCACUCCAAGAACCAAUUAGCAGACACCUUGACUAAGUUUCUUGCUAGCACGUAGUAUUUCGAUGUGAGAGACGGGGCUAGACUUAGUGGAGUGAAAAUGAAUGCACAACACGCUUAAUAAGCUGAUUGUUGUAUUUAUCGUUUUCAUUUUAGUAUCUCAAAACCAUACAUUUGGAUUUAGAGUCAUAGUUGUUUGUAGUCUGGAUGUCAUUUAGACGUCAAGAAGUUAGAGUUUAUUUCAGAGUCUAAAUUCAAUUCAUUUUUGUAAACCGAGUUCGUUUGGGCCAAAUAAUGUUUAGUGAUCUACAUGAGGGGUAUGGAGUUAGUUACAUAUGGUAUUGAUCGGGACUAGUGAAGGUUUUUUAAAUGAAAGGUUAUACUCUCAACAUCUACAUCCUAGGAUUCACAUGACAUUCAUUUUGUUAAAUAAGGGCAAGACCACGACGCCAAAACACCUUAUAAACACAUUACACGAGAUGUUAUGAAAAUGUCAAUCCAUUAUAGGAUGCAUCACAAAAAAACUAAAACUAAGUUGUCUCGCUCCACAAGAAAACACCUUCAAGAAAGGAGUUUCACUUUAGGUGCAAGGUCCAAAAAAUCAAGGCUAGAGCAUUAGCAUGAACACAACACCUUCAACAAGGAGAUGACGCUUGUUAGUCGUUGCCAGGUCCAAGCAGGAAAGGACGGAUCAUAGGUUUUACCUUGGAUAUGGAUUGGCAUUCCGGUCACCGUCUUGAUGGUAGAUUUUCCAAGGUUGAUCCAAACACUACUUUGGGCUCAUUGAGGAAAUCGGGUCUCAUGGGCGCUCCUUUAGGUAUUAAUUGAGAAGUACCACAUAUUUUAGAGAUGUUAUUGGCGGACUAGGAGCACCACAAUGGUGUUAGUGGUGUAUUGAAUGUUGGGAAAGUCUCCAUGUCGAGAUGACGGGAUGGGCAAAUGGAGUAUCCAUCUUGACAUGCUAAUUUUAUGGGAGAUUGAAGAGGAUUGCCGCUAGCACAAAGAGAAGUGGUGAUAUUGGAACACCUUGUUGCACAACUCAAUUUUGGAGGAAGGGAUAGUGAAGGGCUUAAUUGAGGAGAAAUUAGGUUAGAAAUGGAGGUGUGCCAUUAGUACAUAAAUAUACACAUUAUUGUGGUUGCAGUGCAGUAGUUACAUAUGUGCAGUUGCUCAUUCCUAGUAUAUGUAUAGAAAUGAUGUGUCGUAAACUAAACUUGAUACAUAUAUAUGAUCUAUCAAAUGAG
RNAcentral lists this long non-coding RNA (1772 nucleotides) under Hordeum vulgare. Its description in RNAcentral is "long non-coding RNA (HVUL_LNC011079)". Lineage: Eukaryota; Viridiplantae; Streptophyta; Magnoliopsida; Poales; Poaceae. The record is from RNAcentral.